RNAcentral lists this long non-coding RNA (1333 nucleotides) under Equus caballus (horse). RNAcentral's name for it is "lncRNA (ENSECAG00000056728.1)". Lineage: Eukaryota; Metazoa; Chordata; Mammalia; Perissodactyla; Equidae. The record is from RNAcentral.
CGCUUGUGAAAGAGUAACCACUUCUCUCUAAACUACAAAAAGAAGGUUUAUAUUUCAGUAAGCAUUGUUAAUGGGGAAGUCAAAGAACUUGGCUCUCUGGAAACUGAUUCUACUCCAACUGCCCGGAGCACAAAUCUUGCUUUGUUGACAUCAACGCAAGCUCUCCUGAGGACACACAAAGAAGAGAAGAAGCCAUUAGAAUUUCUCGUGACCCUGCUCCGAGACAAAUCCAGCUUCGCUUAAAUGAAUGAAAAUGCUUGUUACAUGGCUCAAGAAGCUACUUUGUCCAUUUGAAAAUUAAUUAGACCGUAGCUAGACGAACAACUGUAAGACGCUUUCACAAUGUUCUUAGAUGGAUGACCCUGGCUGAGUUCCCAAUUUUAACAAGUUUACCCUAAAGCGAAAACAUGGCCUUUUGGCUAAGCUAGUGCCUACAAUUAUAAUGCUUUCCUGAGUGGUAGCCAACUGUUCAGCACAGCCCCAUCAGAGAAGGGAGUUAGGAAGAAAGUACUUAAAACUUUUACGUGUAAUUGUAAUCGAUGUUCUUGAAAGAAAUUUUUUGUCUUAAGGAGCCAAUUUAGUUACACUUUUCACAACUGGACUUGGAGAAAAUGUUAAAAUCUUGUAUCUGUCAUGAUCCACUCUAGAUUCAGACUCCUUAAAGAAGUCUCUUCAGAAUGGGCAAAGCAGCUUCAUGAAGUCAUCAAAGACUCAGAUUUGUUGUUCACCAUUCUCAACACAUGGCUCUCACCUCAUGGUACAAGAUGACUGCUUGGGUUCCAGCCAUUACAGUUACACAAAGGAUGAAGAAACCGGCCACCAUGCUGAGAGAAACCCAGGCCACAUGGAAAGGCCACGUGUGGGCACUUUGGUCAACAGGCCCAGCUGAGCCAAGCCUUUGAGUCAUCGCAGCCCAGGCGCCAGACUUGUGAGUGAAGGAGGCUCCAGAUGAUUCUAACCCUCAGCUCCUGAGUCACCGCCAACUGCUGGAGUCUUCCCAGCUGAGGCCGCAGACAUCACGGAGCAGAGAAAACACGAGUCAUCCCAGCUAUGUCCUGUCCAAAUUCCUGGCCUACACAAUCGGAAUGGAAUGGAAUGGAAGCUUCUUCAUUUAAAUUCUGCACAGGAUGUGUAUUACGGAUUCAUGUUAGUAUAGGUGAGGACGUGAAGCCAUUGCUACUGAGCCUCAGAUGUGGCAGCAAAGAAUUAAGAGAUCAUCACCAUCUCUCUCUCAAUGUAAUGAAAAUCUAACUUCACAACACUCCUCUUAAUCGAGCUUUCCUCAUGCUACUUGGCUAUGCAUUAAAUCUUGGCAUACACAAAAAAUAAAAAC